Molecule: long non-coding RNA, 470 nt
Organism: Perca flavescens (yellow perch)
Lineage: Eukaryota; Metazoa; Chordata; Actinopteri; Perciformes; Percidae
Exons: 3
Source: RefSeq, a predicted model, not a curated record
CCGAUUGUCUCGUUAUGUUGCUCUGCGGUCUGCUUUGUUCCUGAGGUCCUUGUCGUGGAUUCCUUGAUUUAUGGAUUAUUGCUCCCACUCCACCUUGGAUGCACCGUACUUGGGUCUCAAGGGGUUGAGGAUGUGGUUGUUCCACCGAAACUUCACCUCUGUAGCAUCACCGAUGUCCACCUCGGCGUCGAUCAGCACCUCGUAGAUGGCGUCCAGGUCAGAGGGAUAGCCUUUAUUGGCGGAGCAGCCGGGCAUCAGCUCUCCACCGUUGGGGUAGAAGUCAAUGUGGCCCAUGGAUUGAGACAUGCCCAGACCUGAGAGGAGGGAAACAGAAACCACUUUUUGUACAGAGACAAAAGAUUUUUUUUUUUUUUGAUUUUAGUAACAUUUGAUAAAGCUUCACUCCCCUUAUAUUCAACUGUAUUACACAACUUUUAAAAAAUAGCAUACAGAUGGGAAUUUAAAACUGA